This 491-nucleotide ribosomal RNA is filed under the name uncultured bacterium. Its description in RNAcentral is "partial 16S ribosomal RNA". It matches the Rfam family "Bacterial small subunit ribosomal RNA", at positions 29 to 506 of the family's 1533-position model. The record is from RNAcentral.
AGUGAACGCUGGCGGUAGGCCUAACACAUGCAAGUCGAACGGCAGCACAGUAAGAGCUUGCUCUUACGGGUGGCGAGUGGCGGACGGGUGAGGAAUACAUCGGAAUCUACUUUUUCGUGGGGGAUAACGUAGGGAAACUUACGCUAAUACCGCAUACGACCUACGGGUGAAAGCAGGGGAUCUUCGGACCUUGCGCGAUUGAAUGAGCCGAUGUCGGAUUAGCUAGUUGGCGGGGUAAAGGCCCACCAAGGCGACGAUCCGUAGCUGGUCUGAGAGGAUGAUCAGCCACACUGGACCUGAGACACGGUCCAGACUCCUACGGGAGGCAGCAGUGGGGAAUAUUGGACAUUGGGCGCAAGCCUGAUCCAGCUAUACCGCGUGGGUGAAGAAGGCCUUCGGGUUGUAAAGCCCUUUUGUUGGGAAAGAAAAGCAGCAGGUUAAUACCCCGCUGUUCUGACGGUACCCAAAGAAUAAGCACCGGCUAACUUCGU